GGUUAAGCGACUAAGCGUACACGGUGGAUGCCCUGGCAGUCAGAGGCGAUGAAGGACGUGCUAAUCUGCGAAAAGCGUCGGUAAGGUGAUAUGAACCGUUAUAACCGGCGAUGUCCGAAUGGGGAAACCCAGUGUGAUUCGUCACACUAUCGUUAACUGAAUACAUAGGUUAACGAGGCGAACCGGGGGAACUGAAACAUCUAAGUACCCCGAGGAAAAGAAAUCAACCGAGAUUCCCCCAGUAGCGGCGAGCGAACGGGGAGCAGCCCAGAGUCUGAAUCAGCUUGUGUGUUAGUGGAACGGUCUGGAAAGUCCGACGGUACAGGGUGAUAGUCCCGUACACCAAAAUGCACAGGCUGUGAACUCGAAGAGU
Molecule: ribosomal RNA, 373 nt
Filed under: Klebsiella pneumoniae subsp. pneumoniae KpMDU1
Lineage: Bacteria; Pseudomonadati; Pseudomonadota; Gammaproteobacteria; Enterobacterales; Enterobacteriaceae
Description: bacterial LSU rRNA
Rfam family: Bacterial large subunit ribosomal RNA
Source: RNAcentral